UACGUAGGGUGCGAGCGUUGUCCGGAAUUAUUGGGCGUAAAGAGCUCGUAGGCGGUUUGUCGCGUCUGCUGUGAAAACUGGGGGCUCAACCCCCAGCCUGCAGUGGGUACGGGCAGACUAGAGUCCGGAAGAGGAGAGUGGAAUUCCUGGUGUAGCGGUGAAAUGCGCAGAUAUCAGGAGGAACACCAGCGGCGAAGGCGGCGCUCUGGGCCGGUACUGACACUGAGGAGCGAAAGCGUGGGUAGCAAACAGG
RNAcentral lists this ribosomal RNA (253 nucleotides) under uncultured bacterium. RNAcentral's name for it is "partial 16S ribosomal RNA". It matches the Rfam family "Bacterial small subunit ribosomal RNA", at positions 524 to 776 of the family's 1533-position model. The record is from RNAcentral.